AAAAGGCCAUGCAUAUUAGGCCUGGAAUGCCUGGGGCUUUAAAGCCUGCCUCAUAAACAUUAAAGCUCAGGGGCAUACCGCGGCCAAGCGUCUCAAUAUGGUGACCUCCCGGGAGCGGGGAGCCACCAGGUUGCCUAAGGAGGGGUGAACCGGCCCAGGUCGGAAACGGAGCAGGUCAAAACUCCCGUGCUGAUCAGUAGUGGGAUCGCGCCUGUGAAGUAAUUUACAUUUUGGUGUCUUC
Unclassified non-coding RNA from Cricetulus griseus (Chinese hamster), 241 nucleotides. It matches the Rfam family "Metazoan signal recognition particle RNA". From Rfam's summary of the family: The signal recognition particle (SRP) is a universally conserved ribonucleoprotein. It is involved in the co-translational targeting of proteins to membranes. The record is from Ensembl. Lineage: Eukaryota; Metazoa; Chordata; Mammalia; Rodentia; Cricetidae.